AGGGUUCGAUUCUGGCUCAGGAUGAACGCUAGCUACAGGCUUAACACAUGCAAGUCGAGGGGCAGCAUGAGGUUGCUGCAAACCUGAUGGCGACCGGCGCACGGGUGAGUAACGCGUAUCCAACCUGGCCCUUAGUAGGGGAUAGCCCGGCGAAAGUCGGAUUAAUACCCUAUGUUAUCCGACGAUGGCAUCUGAAUCGGAUCAAAGGCUUGCCGCUAAGGGAUGGGGAUGCGUCCGAUUAGCUUGCCGGCGGGGUAACGGCCCACCGGGGCAUCGAUCGGUAGGGGUUCUGAGAGGAAGGUCCCCCACACUGGUACUGAGACACGGACCAGACUCCUACGGGAGGCAGCAGUGAGGAAUAUUGGUCAAUGGGCGUAAGCCUGAACCAGCCAAGUAGCGUGCCAGGACGACGGCCCUACGGGUUGUAAACUGCUUUUAUGCGGGGAUAACGUGCGCCACGCGUGGCGCCUUGCAGGUACCGCAUGAAUAAGGACCGGCUAAUUCCGUGCCAGCAGCGGC
RNAcentral lists this ribosomal RNA (519 nucleotides) under uncultured bacterium. RNAcentral's name for it is "bacterial SSU rRNA". It matches the Rfam family "Bacterial small subunit ribosomal RNA", at positions 8 to 518 of the family's 1533-position model. The record is from RNAcentral.